AUCGGAUUAGACGAUGACUAUCAUGUGUCACGUUCUGAUUGCAUGUUGACUCUAUGGACGAUGAAAAUGCAUUGUUAUUGUCAACGUCCAAUCAGAACGUGACACGUGAUCGU
Glycine soja is the source of this 113-nucleotide non-coding RNA. Lineage: Eukaryota; Viridiplantae; Streptophyta; Magnoliopsida; Fabales; Fabaceae. The record is from Rfam.